Molecule: long non-coding RNA, 547 nt
Filed under: Pongo abelii (Sumatran orangutan)
Lineage: Eukaryota; Metazoa; Chordata; Mammalia; Primates; Hominidae
Description: lincRNA
Source: RNAcentral
GGGGAGAUGGAGGCUGUGUUCAGGCUGGUCCACGCUGGGUCACCCAUGUGACCUGCUGCUUAGCAAUUCUUUGUCACCAUCUUCCCUUCUCAGCCUCUUUUUCCAUGCUAAGAGGCAUAAAUGAAAUGAUAAAAGUUUGAGCUCUUCUCAUGGAAUUCUUGUGAUACAGAUAUGUGCUACAUGUUCACUAUCUCAUUGGUCUUCACCAUGAUAACUGUGGAGUAAGAAUUAUCAGCAGUUCGCAGAUUAUGGACUUGAGACUGACAGUUUGGCUUCCCUGUUCCAGGUGGCAAAGCCUGUGGGGUAUUCACCUACCUGCUGCAUGAAGGCAGCAUGGAGGGACUGUGGUGGAUUAUCUGCAAAGAUGGCCCAAAUUCUCUCAUCCCUGCAGGUACAUACAAGAAAGCCUGAAUUUUGUAAAUGUUCUGCUUAGAAUGAGGAAGAAAGAUGAAGAAUGAGGAGGAAGAAGGGAGGAACAAGAGAGAGAGGUAAAGCCAACAAGCAGAACAGACCUACAUUUGCAGCAUCUCCAAGUUUCUGCAACAGC